GGCCAGCGCUAGUCGGUCUGGUAAGUGCCUGAUGCCGAGUUCCGUCUCUCGCGUCUUUUCCUGGUCCCAGGCAAAGCGGAGCGGAGAUCCUCAAACGGCCUAGUGCUUCGCGCUUCCGGAGAAAAUCAGCGGUCUAAUUAAUUCCUCUGGAUUUACAAAAGGUGCAGGUAUGAGCAGGUCUGAAGACUAACAUUUUGUGAAGUUGUAAAACAGAAAACCUGUUAGAAAUGUGGUGGUUUCAGCAAGGCCUCAGUUUCCUUCCUUCAGCCCUUGUAAUUUGGACAUCUGCUGCUUUCAUAUUUUCAUACAUUACUGCAGUAACACUCCACCAUAUAGACCCGGCUUUACCUUAUAUCAGUGACACUGGUACAGUAGCUCCAGAAAAAUGCUUAUUUGGGGCAAUGCUAAAUAUUGCGGCAGUUUUAUGUCAAAAAUAGAAAUCAGGAAGAUAAUUCAACUUAAAGAAGUUCAUUUCAUGACCAAACUCUUCAGAAACAUGUCUUUACAAGCAUAUCUCUUGUAUUGCUUUCUACACUGUUGAAUUGUCUGGCAAUAUUUCUGCAGUGGAAAAUUUGAUUUAGCUAGUUCUUGACUGAUAAAUAUGGUAAGGUGGGCUUUUCCCCCUGUGUAAUUGGCUACUAUGUCUUACUGAGCCAAGUUGUAAUUUGAAAUAAAAUGAUAUGAGAGU
This 688-nucleotide long non-coding RNA is filed under the name Homo sapiens (human). Its description in RNAcentral is "non-protein coding lnc-DENND2D-2:3". Lineage: Eukaryota; Metazoa; Chordata; Mammalia; Primates; Hominidae. The record is from RNAcentral.